UUCGUAUUCCCUAUUAUCCUCCAUUUCGCACUGUUCUUCAUUCUUCUGUUUUAUCUUUGGGUGUUGUUUGUUGACUGCAAAUAUGUAUUAGAGAUUUAAUUUUCAAUCCUUUGAUUUAUUUGUUGGUUUCUGAGCUUCAUGUUGCGUUUUGUAAUGCUCGUUUCUUUCGUUUCGUAUCAGAAUAAUAUGAUUUGCUUUUAAUGAAAUUGUGUCUUAAGUUGUAAUUUUCUGAUUCUCGUUGUUACAUUUGAUCUCUGCUCUUUUCUAUACCUUCUAUAGGCGUAAGAGUGGAAUUUCAAGGUGUAUCGGGGACAAGAGAAGUUUGAUUGGAAAUAGGUCUUGGGUUUCCCGGGUUCAAGAGAAGAUUCGUCGGAGAUACCUCUGUAGCGUAAGAGUGGAAUUUCAAGGUUUAUCGGG
Molecule: long non-coding RNA, 417 nt
Organism: Vitis riparia (riverbank grape)
Lineage: Eukaryota; Viridiplantae; Streptophyta; Magnoliopsida; Vitales; Vitaceae
Exons: 3
Source: RefSeq, a predicted model, not a curated record